AAAUGAAUUGACGGGGGCCCGCACAAGCAGCGGAGCGUGUGGUUUAAUUCGAGGCUACACGAAGAACCUUACCUGGGUUUGACAUGCAAGUGGUAGUGAACCGAAAGGGGAACGACCUUCGGGAGCUUGCACAGGUGCUGCAUGGCUGUCGUCAGCUCGUGCCGUGAGGUGUUCGGUUAAGUCCGCAAACGAGCGCAACCCCCGGGGUUAGUUACAAGUGUCUAACCCGACUGCCUGUGAGAAACAGGAGGAAGGUGGGGAUGACGUCAAGUCAGCAUGGCCUUUAUAUCCAGGGCUACACACACGCUACAAUGGGCGGUACAACAGGUUGCGAAGCCGCGAGGUGGAGCCAAUCCCGAAAGCCGUUCGUAGUUCGGAUUGCAGGCUGCAACUCGCCUGCAUGAAGUUGGAGUUGCUAGUAACCGCGCGUCAGCUAUAGUGCGGUGAAUACGUUCCCGGGCCUUGUACACACCGCCCGU
RNAcentral lists this ribosomal RNA (479 nucleotides) under uncultured bacterium. Its description in RNAcentral is "bacterial SSU rRNA". It matches the Rfam family "Bacterial small subunit ribosomal RNA", at positions 903 to 1397 of the family's 1533-position model. The record is from RNAcentral.